UACGGAGGGUGCAAGCGUUAUCCGGAUUUACUGGGUUUAAAGGGUGCGUAGGUGGGCAGGUAAGUCAGUGGUGAAAUCUCCGGGCUUAACCCGGAAACUGCCAUUGAUACUAUCUGUCUUGAAUAUCCUGGAGGUAAGCGGAAUAUGUCAUGUAGCGGUGAAAUGCUUAGAUAUGACAUAGAACACCCAUUGCGAAGGCAGCUUACUACGGGAUUAUUGACACUGAGGCACGAAAGCGUGGGGAUCAAACGGG
Molecule: ribosomal RNA, 253 nt
Filed under: uncultured bacterium
Lineage: Bacteria
Description: partial 16S ribosomal RNA
Rfam family: Bacterial small subunit ribosomal RNA
Source: RNAcentral